CUCAGUUGGUAUAUAUAAGAUGUGGAGCAAGUCAUCGUUUUAAUUCAAAGAAAUCAGCGAAAGAUGAAUUCGUGCAAAAGUGGAAUGCUCCUUGUUCUCGUGGUUAUAGUAACAUGCUUUCUAGAAGGGAACGAAGGGUCCAGCACGACCACCACUACUUCUACAACAACGACGUCGACUACAGCAAUACCUGGAGGCCCAACCAGCAGAACCCCACCGCCUACUAUUACCACAAGCCUACACCAUAACAAUCCCACUUCAAAUACUAAUAGUACCGGUCAGGGAGGAGCAGGUAGCAGACUGAUGUUUUCCAAGUCGUCCCUCAUCUUCAUGUCUGUGAUCGGAGUCUUUGUGAUGAAAUUUGUAUGAGGACUAU
This is a long non-coding RNA of Saccostrea cuccullata (small rock oyster), 376 nucleotides long. RefSeq lists it as uncharacterized. The record is from RefSeq and is a predicted model, not a curated record. Lineage: Eukaryota; Metazoa; Mollusca; Bivalvia; Ostreida; Ostreidae. The transcript is spliced from 3 exons.